This is a long non-coding RNA of Budorcas taxicolor (takin), 361 nucleotides long. RefSeq lists it as uncharacterized. Lineage: Eukaryota; Metazoa; Chordata; Mammalia; Artiodactyla; Bovidae. The record is from RefSeq and is a predicted model, not a curated record. The transcript has 3 exons.
GUGAAGGAGAGCUAGGAAGCCAAUUGGUGGAGCUGUUCCACCUCUUAAGACUUCCCUUUCCACUUCCCAGAGCCACCAAGGAGGAUGUUCUAGGGCAAAGGCUUAUUUGAUGUAGAAGCAGGAAGGCUGUUUAAGGGUGUGCACUUGGGUGUCCAUGUGAGUGAGGACAAGUGGAAGCAGAUCUGACUGGAAUUCCAGAAGAAUCUGCUCCCAGUGUGAGAGAUUGUGAAUUCCUGAAGGACAAGGACAGUAAGCAUCUUGUUCUGUUGUUUCCCCACAAUCUGAGAUAAAAUACCACAUAAUUGAAGAAAUAUGAAAUAACAGCAUUUGUAUAGCAGAAAAAGGCUGUAUGUGUGUCAGA